RNAcentral lists this ribosomal RNA (630 nucleotides) under Vanrija albida. RNAcentral's name for it is "LSU rRNA". It matches the Rfam family "Eukaryotic large subunit ribosomal RNA", at positions 36 to 656 of the family's 3401-position model. The record is from RNAcentral. Lineage: Eukaryota; Fungi; Basidiomycota; Tremellomycetes; Trichosporonales; Trichosporonaceae.
AAGCAUAUCAAUAAGCGGAGGAAAAGAAACUAACAAGGAUUCCCCUAGUAGCGGCGAGUGAAGCGGGAAGAGCUCAAAUUUGUAAUCUGGCGUCUUUCGGGCGUCCGAGUUGUAAUCUAUAGAAGUGUUUUCCGUGCUGGACCAUGUCCAAGUCCCUUGGAACAGGGUAUCAAAGAGGGUGACAAUCCCGUACUUGAUAUGGCCACCAGUGCUCUGUGAUACACUUUCUACGAGUCGAGUUGUUUGGGAAUGCAGCUCAAAAUGGGUGGUAAAUUCCAUCUAAAGCUAAAUAUUGGCGAGAGACCGAUAGCGAACAAGUACCGUGAGGGAAAGAUGAAAAGCACUUUGGAAAGAGAGUUAAACAGUACGUGAAAUUGUUGAAAGGGAAACGAUUGAAGUCAGUCGUGUUCAUUGGACUCAGCCGGUUCUUCCGGUCUAUUUCCUUUGAACGGGUCAACAUCAGUUUUGUCCGGUGGAUAAAGGCAGAGAGAAAGUGGCUCCCUCGGGAGUGUUAUAGCUUUUUGUCACAUACACUGGAGGAGACUGAGGACUGCAGCUCGCCUUUUGGCCGGGGUUCGCCCACGUUCGAGCUUAGGAUGUUGACAUAAUGGCUUUAAACGACCCGUCUUG